Oryza sativa Japonica Group (Japanese rice) is the source of this 2532-nucleotide long non-coding RNA. RefSeq lists it as uncharacterized. The record is from RefSeq and is a predicted model, not a curated record. Lineage: Eukaryota; Viridiplantae; Streptophyta; Magnoliopsida; Poales; Poaceae.
UCAAUCUGAAUCAAGCAAAUCAGCUACCAGCCUGCCAGUGAGUCCUGAAUGUGCAAUCUGAAUUGAUUAGAUGGCUCAUGAUGAACUUAUCGUCGGACAUGUUGGAUCGGUAUGUUCAUCACAUUUGCUCCCUUUAAUUAGCUUUAGGCACAAUUGUGCUGCAUCAUUGGUGGCUUAUCGAUUGAUAUGUACAUGCAAGUAAGAAGUGACUUGGAAAGUAUUUGUUGCCUAUACGGAUGGGUCUCAAGAUCUACACUCGUGGGUUCUACUGUUGACAAGAACUAAUGCACUGUUUACAAGAAUAUUAGCAGGAUUCUGCAUAUUUCCUUCACCAAUCACUACUACCCGUAUCAACCUAAGACUAUCAUGUUUUCCUUUUUCCUUGCACCUGUUUCUGAUAGUUAGAAGUGACAUUUUUAAGUGCUUGUUGAUACAGACCAUUCGUUUAUAUUCAUUUUCAUAAAAAAAAGAAUUCAGUUAUAUCCAAGUUUUCAAAUUUUCAAGCAGGGGUAUCCUUGUUCCUCGCUGACCUCGGGCUCGGCUAAUGGUCGAACGGAUGCACCAGGGAGAAAAGAAGGCGACACAACACACCACAAGGACAGCAUAGUGGGUAGGCAGACCAGCUAUGUUCUUGUACACGAACAGGAGAAGCACCACUGAGCCGGCCGGCCGGCCAGCCAACCGCAGCGGAGUGGAGGAAAAAAAAUCUGACCAAUCAAGGUUGUGCAGAAUGUUAACACUGCAUAGAUAAAGUUCCUCUUGAUUUCGAGGGCUGGAGUAUGUCCAUUGAUGAUUCAAGGGACAAUUAAAACCCUUCCUGUGCUGAUGCAGUUUUGCAUGAUGCUGAAGCGGUAGAUCGGCCGAUCUGUGACUUGCUGGGUGGUAAGGACAGCUAAAAAAAUCUCAGAGGGAUAUGAAGUGAAUCAGUGGCUCAAAGUUGCCAUCGUCUGGGCUUGUGCAGCACCUGGUAUCUCGCAUUGCCGUAAGAGCGACCUAACAUGAAAUACUGCACACAGUCAUCUCAUUUGCAGGACAGCGACACAGUGUAAUGCUCUUCACUGCACACACUCAGCUCAUCUGCAGGAGGACAGUGGCACAGUGUACUGCUCUUUCGCCUCCCACUCAGCAAGUCAUGCAACAGCGCCAUGUGCUUGCGAUGAAAGCCCAUCGCUGCCCACUAAUGGCCGAGGUGAUCGUCGCGUUUCUACAUCCGCAUCAUUGGUUGCUCGGACGGAGGCCAUGGGGCGCCUGGAGCCAAAGCUGCGUAGCCCAUGUUCUCCUUGACUCCUUGGAUUUCGUUUGCAAGCAGGAAAGGUAUUGUUUGCACUUUGCAGCUCUGCACUGUGUUAUUCGUUUCCUUAUCUUCUUUCUUUUCACGAGUAGAAUUCUGCUUUGGAAUAAAUCUAUUUUGCCUCUCUCCUAAUUGAAUCGCCUCACAAAAUCACAAAAUCGGAUAUAACGUUUUCCUCAUCUUCGAAAGCUGGUGAAAACUGUCAUCCUUCCUGCCUCUAAUGCUGCUGGAAGAUGAGAUAGGAGGAAAAUGGAAGAGAGGAUUGAUAGAGGGGAAAAGAUAAGGAGAAAGUUGUUGACAUAUGGGUCCCACUCAUUACUCAACGAGUCAACCGAGGUUAACUUGUUACUACGUCAGUAGAAACCGUUUCCAAACCAUCGAAGGAGCUGAUUUGUAGUUGAGAGAGGCUAAGGAGCUGAUUUGUUAUAUUCGGUUUUAUAGUUGAGAGAGGCUACUGCUGGGUGGUAACUACUGUCCUCCUGUCAUGGACAAGCAGAGGGAUGUGACAAUCAGUAGCUCAAGUUACGCCAUCGUCUGGGCUUGUGCUACACAUAUAGCGUUGCGCGGUGUGUAACGUGUGUUAGGCCGACUAGUGUAGUCCUCUUCAUUGCACACUCAGCACAUUUGCAGGACAGCGCCAGUGUAAUGCUCUUGACUGCACACUCAGCUCAUCUGCAGAAGGAUAGAGACACAGUGUACUGCUCUUUCGCUUCCCACUCAGCAAGUCAUGCAACAGCUCAUGAAAAUAUGCAGUGCAAAUCACAUAUGCAAUGGAAAUCUGGAGACUACGUUGGAUCCAAAUAUGAGUGUUUUAGAUUUGUUCGUGUCACCAAGAAUAAAACUUUUACUCGUGGUUAAAUCUAAGAGUAAAUCUAGGAAAAAUAUGUAGUGCAAAUCACAUAUACAGUGGAAAUAUAAAAACUAUCAUUAGACUAAAAUGGACGCCUACAAUUUAUCAAUGCCAACAAUAGAAAAACUUAUAGGCGUCCAUUUUAGUCUAAGAUAGUUUUCAUAUUUCCACUAUAUAUGUGAUUUGAACUACAUAUUUUCCCAAACAACACCAUACUUUUGCGAUGAAGCCCACCUGUACCCACUAACGGCCGAGGAUAUUGUCUCUGUUCUACUACCUUCGUCCUAGAAAAAGACAAACCCUGAGUUUCCGUGUCCAACGUUUGACAGUUCGUCUUAUAUGAAAUUUUUUUUAUAAUUAAUAUUUUUAGUGUUGUUGGAUGAUAAAACAU